UACGUAGGGGGCAAGCGUUAUCCGGAAUUACUGGGUGUAAAGGGUGAGUAGGCGGCAUGGUAAGCCAGAUGUGAAAGCCUUGGGCUUAACCCGAGGAUUGCAUUUGGAACUAUCAAGCUAGUGUACAGGAGAGGAAAGCGGAAUUCCUAGUGUAGCGGUGAAAUGCGUAGAUAUUAGGAAGAACACCAGUGGCGAAGGCGGCUUUCUGGACUGAAACUGACGCUGAGGCACGAAAGCGUGGGGAGCGAACAGG
This 253-nucleotide ribosomal RNA is filed under the name uncultured bacterium. RNAcentral describes it as "partial 16S ribosomal RNA". It matches the Rfam family "Bacterial small subunit ribosomal RNA", at positions 524 to 776 of the family's 1533-position model. The record is from RNAcentral.